Molecule: ribosomal RNA, 322 nt
Filed under: uncultured eukaryote
Lineage: Eukaryota
Description: partial 18S ribosomal RNA
Rfam family: Eukaryotic small subunit ribosomal RNA
Source: RNAcentral
CCCUUAGAUGUUCUGGGCCGCACGCGUGCUACACUGAGUAAAUCAAUGGGUAAGGGAACACGAAAGUGCAACCUAAUCUUGAAAUUUGCUCGUGAUGGGGAUCGACGGUUGCAAUUUUCCGUCGUGAACGAGGAAUACCUUGUAGGCGCGUGUCAUCAUCACGCGCCGAAUACGUUCCUGCCCUUUGUACACACCGCCCGUCGCUCCUACCGAUUGAGUGAUCCGGUGAGGCUCUGGGACCUGGACGGAAAGAGCGUUUCGCUUGUUCUGUUUGGGAAACUUGGUCGAACCUUAUCAUUUAGAGGAAGGAGAAGUCGUAACA